UACGUAGGGGGCAAGCGUUGUCCGGAAUUAUUGGGCGUAAAGAGCGUGUAGGCGGUCCGGUAAGUCAGCUGUGAAAGUCAAGGGCUCAACCCUUGAAAGCCGGUUGAUACUGUCGGGCUAGAGUCCGGAAGAGGCGAGUGGAAUUCCCGGUGUAGCGGUGAAAUGCGCAGAUAUCAGGAGGAACACCGAUGGCGAAGGCGGGUCUCUGGGCCGAAAUUGACGCUGAGGAGCGAAAGCGUGGGGAGCAAACAGG
This 253-nucleotide ribosomal RNA is filed under the name uncultured bacterium. RNAcentral describes it as "partial 16S ribosomal RNA". It matches the Rfam family "Bacterial small subunit ribosomal RNA", at positions 524 to 776 of the family's 1533-position model. The record is from RNAcentral.